CUACGGGGUGCUGCAGUGGGGAAUAUUGCACAAUGGGCGCAAGCCUGAUGCAGCCAUGCCGCGUGUAUGAAGAAGGCCUUCGGGUUGUAAAGUACUUUCAGCGGGGAGGAAGGGAGUAAAGUUAAUACCUUUGCUCAUUGACGUUACCCGCAGAAGAAGCACCGGCUAACUCCGUGCCAGCAGCCGCGGUAAUACGGAGGGUGCAAGCGUUAAUCGGAAUUACUGGGCGUAAAGCGCACGCAGGCGGUUUGUUAAGUCAGAUGUGAAAUCCCCGGGCUCAACCUGGGAACUGCAUCUGAUACUGGUAAGCUUGAGUCUCGUAGAGGGGGGUAGAAUUCCAGGUGUAUCGGUGAAAUGCGUAGAGAUCUGGAGGAAUACCGGUGGCGAAGGCGGCCCCCUGGACGAAGACUGACGCUCAGGUGCGAAAGCGUGGGGAGCAAACAGGAUUAGAUACCCGCGUAGUC
Molecule: ribosomal RNA, 464 nt
Filed under: uncultured bacterium
Lineage: Bacteria
Description: partial 16S ribosomal RNA
Rfam family: Bacterial small subunit ribosomal RNA
Source: RNAcentral